CUCCAAUCCCCAUGACAGUAUGUUUAGCAUACACACUCCUGCCACCACCUUCCCUUGUUUGAACGAUACAUUGCAGCGAUCAGCUCGAUUUGAAGCAACAAGAAGGCUGGAAGAAAGUGGACAUGCAAGAGCUGUAAGAAAACAUCGGCUGUGGCAAAGGAAAAAGAAAGCUGUGUCUCUGCACAAAAGGAUGACAGGUACAGAGCUACUGGGUUUAUCAGCAUCUUCUUUGCAAGUCUUUUCCAUCGGUGAUUUAAAUUCUUCUCAUUGUUUCAGAAAACGAAAAUCUUCUUAAGAUUUAGAAGGAUUCUUGUGCUCCCACCAAAACUGUUAAAUGUUUCCAAACUUUCCAGCUAUGCAGCAGCAAUCCAGCUCCUGGGUAACUGCAAUUACUGUGAUGGCACAAGUGUUUGAGAUAUACAGCUCCGGAAAGCAAAUGUUCACAUCUCCCCAUAUGUGGGGGGUCAAGUCUGAGCUUCAAAGGUCAGCCAUCCACAUUAGGGGGAAUGGAGCUUCCUGGCUACUUUACUACCACCGUUUUUAGCAUAUAAAUGCAUUGCAGUGCUCCUACAACACAAGCAGAUGAAUUUACAGGCUUUGCUUUCAGAGCAGAUGCAUUUUUUUUUUGUCAGCUGUGCCCCUAACGACAAUUGAUGGUUCAGGUUGAAUGCAUGUUGUUCUGCUAUUUUUAUGUGUGGUUAUUGGGAUUGCUUCUUGUUCAUGUGAUGGUAGCUGCCUGCCAGCUGGUGGCUGGAUUCUACAGGACAAUUAGCAAUUUUCCCCAUCUGGUGAAUAGAUUUACUCCGCAUGCAUCUUGCAUGUGAUAAUGUCUGAGGCUCAAAUAGAGAUGUUUCAGUGAAAGGCUGUUCUUCACUAUCCAGAACAAGGCUUUUUCCUGUAUGUUUUGCAUGUUUUCAGGGAAGUAUGGUUUUCUGAGAGUGGUGGAGGUGCUGUUUAAGUGGUUUGUAGUGCUCCAGUUCGGCUGGGGUGCUUGCAGUUCUCCUGGAAGUGAAACAAAACUACAGGAAUUGUGCUCCUGAUUUGCUGACUGAUUAAUAAAUAUCAAGGUUUUAUUUUUCA
This is a long non-coding RNA of Numida meleagris (helmeted guineafowl), 1080 nucleotides long. NCBI's taxonomy places the organism in Eukaryota, Metazoa, Chordata, Aves, Galliformes, Numididae. The record is from Ensembl.